UAGGGAAUCUUCCACAAUGGGCGCAAGCCUGAUGGAGCAACACCGCGUGAGUGAAGAAGGUUUUCGGAUCGUAAAGCUCUGUUGUAAGAGAAGAACGUGUGUGGGAGUGGAAAGUUCACACAGUGACGGUAACUUACCAGAAAGGGACGGCUAACUACGUGCCAG
RNAcentral lists this ribosomal RNA (165 nucleotides) under uncultured bacterium. RNAcentral describes it as "partial 16S rRNA". It matches the Rfam family "Bacterial small subunit ribosomal RNA", at positions 355 to 511 of the family's 1533-position model. The record is from RNAcentral.